Molecule: ribosomal RNA, 301 nt
Filed under: uncultured bacterium
Lineage: Bacteria
Description: partial 16S ribosomal RNA
Rfam family: Bacterial small subunit ribosomal RNA
Source: RNAcentral
CAGUAGCCGCGGUAAUACGUAGGUGGCAAGCGUUGUCCGGAAUUAUUGGGCGUAAAGGGCUCGCAGGCGGUUUCUUAAGUCUGAUGUGAAAGCCCCCGGCUCAACCGGGGAGGGUCAUUGGAAACUGGGAAACUUGAGUGCAGAAGAGGAGAGUGGAAUUCCACAUGUAGCGGUGAAAUGCGUAGAGAUGUGGAGGAACACCAGUGGCGAAGGCGACUCUCUGGUCUGUAACUGACGCUGAGGCUCGAAAGCGUGGGGAGCAAACAGGAUUAGAUACCCCUGUAGUCCCUGUCUCUUAUAC